GCUCCGUGCCCCCCCCCUACCGUUGAAGCGCUGUCUUGCUGCAACACAUCAACCACACGCAUCGAUUUUAACGCUAGAGAACGUGGUUCAUCAGCAGACCGCUGUCUCCUCCGCCUCCUCCUCCCACCCCACCCCACCCCACCCUCUCCACGUCGUGUGCCGUGUGUUCUCACAUCGCUUCUGCCGCCGUCGUUGCUGUCGCUGCCGUUGGCUCUUUGUUGCCGACCUCUCCCCGGUUAUCGCCGCCUUUGCGGGGCGGCGGCGGCGGGCGGGCGGAAGAGAGACGAAGGCCCAAGCGUAUGCAUCAUCGGCGGCUUGCGCGCCCGCCCUUUGUGCUUGGCAGAGAUUCCCGUGUGCGCUUGUGCAUGAUGUUGCGUCGCGCGCUCCCAUGUUGCGCCGCCGCGCCUCUUCGAUACGCUGCCUCCACACUGUGUUUCCCUCGCUCAAGACGUGGUGUGGGCCCAGCCUUCAGCAGCAGCAACCGUCUCUCGCACAUGACGCGGGCGUACGCCACCACGACCCCGCCGCCGGCAGGCAAUCACGAUGGCGCGGCUGACGAGGAUGCGCACAUGACGGAUGACGGCGAUGUUGACGCUGCCGCCGCCGAUCGCCACCACGCUCCGACGCUUCGCAGCGCCCUGCCGCCGAGCGCCGCGGAGCUGCCGGAGGAGUCGUUCCUUAAAUGCAUCGACAAGGAAAUCUUCGACGAGAAGGUGCGGCUGGACAAAGAGGAUGGCCCGCCGCCAGUGCCGACGGGGUGGACGAUGCAUCACACGGAGGGCACCAGCUUCAUCUACGGACGUCGGCUGUGGAUGCCGCCGCCGCCAUCAUCCUCCUCCUCGUCGCCAAGCACGUGGAGUGGAGAGGCCGAGGCGCGGCGCGGCGAUGCCGGAGACAGCUCUACCCAAGAGAGCAGAGGAAAGCAGCAGCGGCAGGAGCGGGAGGUGAAGCCGACCCCGUGGGCCAUGGAGCGGCACUUCUUGCGCAUCCAGCUUACCUCCCGUGAUGCCUCGCUCGACCCUGAGUGCGACGUGCGCGGCGAACACUUCCCUUUCUCCUUCUUUGUUCAACGCGUUCUCCCUGAAGAAGGCGAGGAGGGGAGCGGUGCGGGGGUGACGGGCCGCAGCAGUGGCGAGCAGGGCGCCGCCGCCAACAGUCAGGACGCUCUCCACGGGGAUUCGUUCGAGGAGCACACUUUCUACCACAACAGCAUCGAGGCUCGCUGCGACGUCGUUGAUGGGGAGCUGAUUGUCGACGGCUUGGUCUACCACGGCCCUCCUCCUCCCACGUCCCACCCGCCGUCCUCGUCCGGUGCCCCACAGCCGCGGUACACGAACCCGUUCGGCGGCUACCCGGGGCCAAACCUGGAUGAGGUGGAAGAGGAGGUCCUCGACGGCAUUCAAAGCUGGCUGGCCGAGCGCGGCGUUGACGACCAGCUCGGCGAAUUUGUUGGGCAGUACUCUAUAUGGGUGGAGCAGGCGGAGUACGAGCGGUGGCUGCAGCAGCUGCGUGACUACGUGGCGGCCUGAAAGGGAUCACGAUAAG
RNAcentral lists this unclassified non-coding RNA (1545 nucleotides) under Leishmania donovani. RNAcentral's name for it is "gene:LdHU3.05.0880(CDS-product:Mitochondrial_glyc oprotein_putative)". Lineage: Eukaryota; Euglenozoa; Kinetoplastea; Trypanosomatida; Trypanosomatidae. The record is from RNAcentral.